AAUAAGGUCAUUUUUCAGUUUUUAGAUACAAUUUUCUGACUCUUCGUCUUAUUUAAAAUUUUUUUGCGAUUGAUAUUUUUAUUGUUACUAGAUGAUAGAAUAUAAAUAAUACUUUAUGUGUGACUAAUUUUUUUAAGUUUUUAUACAAAUUUUUCAAAUAAGACGAAUAGUCAAAGCAUUGGACAUAAAAAUCGAAAAAUAACUUUAUU
Molecule: microRNA precursor, 209 nt
Filed under: Oryza brachyantha (malo sina)
Lineage: Eukaryota; Viridiplantae; Streptophyta; Magnoliopsida; Poales; Poaceae
Description: MIR812 microRNA precursor family
Rfam family: MIR812 microRNA precursor family
Source: Rfam by way of RNAcentral